Molecule: ribosomal RNA, 506 nt
Filed under: uncultured bacterium
Lineage: Bacteria
Description: partial 16S ribosomal RNA
Rfam family: Bacterial small subunit ribosomal RNA
Source: RNAcentral
AUUGAACGCUGGCGGCAGGCCUAACACGUGCAAGUCGGACGGUAGCACAGAGGAGCUUGCUCCUCGGGUGACGAGUGGCGGACGGGUGAGUAAUGUCUGGGGAUCUGCCCGAUAGAGGGGGAUAACCACUGGAAACGGUGGCUAAUACCGCAUAACGUCGCAAGACCAAAGAGGGGGACCUUCGGGCCUCUCACUAUCGGAUGAACCCAGAUGGGAUUAGCUAGUAGGCGGGGUAACGGCCCACCUAGGCGACGAUCCCUAGCUGGUCUGAGAGGAUUACCAGCCACACUAGAACUGAGACACGGGCCAGACUCCUACGGGAGGCAGCAGUGGGGAAUAUUGCACAAUGGGCGCAAGCCUGAUGCAGCCAUGCCGCGUGUAUGAAGAAGGCCUUCGGGUUGUAAAGUACUUUCAGCGGGGAGGAAGGCGAUGUGGUUAAUAACCGCAUUGAUUGACGUUACCCGCAGAAGAAGCACCGGCUAACUCCGUGCCAGCCGCCGCAGUAA